Molecule: long non-coding RNA, 978 nt
Filed under: Phasianus colchicus (ring-necked pheasant)
Lineage: Eukaryota; Metazoa; Chordata; Aves; Galliformes; Phasianidae
Description: lncRNA (ENSPCLG00000019442.1)
Source: RNAcentral
AGUCACUCCACAGGGGAAGAGCAAAGUCUGGCAAUAUUUUCUAUUCAGAAAUUAAAUCUGUUUCAGCUGUGAAGUUGAUAACAAUCAUGUGCACAAGGUUACAUAAGAUGCCAUUGGUCUCAUUCACUUUUUGUCUGCUCUAUGGGUUUAGAAGCCUUCAUUUGGGGUUAGCAGGGAAGGGGUUAAGUCCUCCUCUUGAGCUUAUGAGGGACCACAGCUGCAUGCAUGCCCUCAGCACAGAGCAGGGGGUGCUGGGGCAGGGACAGCUGCCAUUAAUUAAGGGAUUCCCUUACACACCACAAAAUGAUUUUUCUCCAGCAGCCCUGUUUGGCUGAACUGUGGUGUGUGGAGGCUGAAUUCGGUAAGGAUUUAAAGCAGAGAGAAAAUUAUGCUUCAUUUCUUCAUCUCCCUUUUGCUCCUUAUGAGGGUGCCUGGUGUUAAGUAAAGGAGCAUAUCGUGGAAGUUGCCUUUUUAUUGCAGUGCUGUAAACCUUGCUGCCUUGUUUUUGAAGGCCUGCUGAUGGGAUGGAGGCUGCGUUCCGAUGGCUGCUGUGCGAUGGGAUCGGGCGGCAGGAGCCGCGUGAGAUCACUCGGCACCAUCUGACCAUGGGCAGGCAGAGAGGCAGAGUGGGAACAUGGGCACGAAGGAAUGGAGCACCAGCUCUUCCCCUUCCUAUUUCCAACCCUAAGCAUCCCUCCCACACUUUAAAGGGUGACUGCUUUUGUAACAUGGCCUUCCUUGCUGGGGCCACCUUAUGCACUGACAUGUAUAAUCUGAAUUGUGUCUGUGCUGCUCGACAGACCAGUGUUGAAGCUGCGUGUGCCGGAGGAGAAAGGAAAAGUGAAGUGUUACAGAGUGGUCGUGAGGGAGAAAACAGCCUGGGGCCAGCUCUGGUUGUCCACCUCUGUGCUUAGCUUCUUACUGCUGACAGUGGUACCUGUAGGAAAAUAAAUCACAGCACAGAUGUGUCCCUCUCCA